GACUCUCCUGCCGCGGGGCUGGGCAUCGUCUCCCCCUCGGUGAAGGCACACACCGGGGGAAGCGCCAACCUCAUGAACUUCUACGCCACGAGCUACGCGGUGGCCUAUGGUAGGGGGUCCCAAAGCCCUCCCCAAAGGUGUGUGGGGGGCUCGUUCCCAUGACUAAGCCCCCUCUCCCCGCUGUCACCCAGGCCAGCCACGUUUCCGUCCCCGCCUUGGCCACCACACCGGCAGCGGCUACGUGUCCAACAACCACUCGGCCAUCUCCUGCCUGCUCUGCCCGCGCGGUGCAGCAGAGGGGUAGGUACCCCUGCUGCGAGUGAAAUGGGGGGGGGGGGCAAGUUUUGGGGCCACGCCGUCACAGCCACACUGGCCUCCCACCACAGCCACUGCCAGGACACCGCCACGUCCACCACCACUGAGCACUUCAAGCCCUUUUGGCUCCCUGACGGCCGGAUCCUGCUGCCCCGGCAUGUCCACCAGCCGGAGAGCGGGUACCUCCAAGAGUCCUCCCUUUCCUGCCCCCACACCGGGGGGGGUGAGUCCCCAGCACACGUGGCUCCUCCAGGGCCCCCCCAGAGCAUCCAGGGAGCACGGCACAGAGAGCCGCCGCGCCAGUCCUGCCCAGCCAGGUAUGGUUUUGGGGGUGUCGGUGGUGCUGGGGCCAGCUCUGUCCCCAGGAGGUUUUGGGGUGUCAGUGGUCCCAGGACUAGGUCCAACCCCAGGAGGUUUUGGGGGUGUUGGAGGCCCCCUGCCCUGCAUCACCUACACCUGCCCACCCCCAAACAUGGGGACAGGCAGGGGUCGUGACACCGGGUAAUGCCAUGGCUGGCUCCAGGGUCCGUGCGCAGGCUGGGCUGGGGACAGGGACAGUGGGGCUCCCUCCCUGCCCCAUCUGCUCCCCGCAGAUGUCUUGCAGAAGACGACCAUCGGUGCCAAGGAGCAGUCGGGCUUCACCAGGGCCACCCCGAGGAGCGACAGCAUCCUGCCAGUCCUGCCAGCCCAGCCCGUGAGACCCUGCCCCACCGGGUCCCUUGUCCCCCGCCAGCUCCUCAACCCCUUUGCACCCCAAGGGACAAUUUUGCUCUCCCGCAGCUCGGCGUUAGCAUCACCACAACGGAUUACCUGCCCUCUGUGCGCAGCCACGGCGGCGAGACACUCCUGGCACUGCCGGCGUGCUCCGAGAGAGGCAACGGGUUCAGCCGGGAGGUGCCAGGCUGCCUGGGCACGGCGGUGAGCAGGACCCCAUCCCACUGCCCGGCCCCAUGUGCCCUCCCUGUCCUCAUCCACUAUCCCCACGCAGGGCUUGCCCGUGGUGGGCCACCCCAUCCCACCCGUCUCCCGAGGGCUGCAGGCACCCCGAGUGACCCAGGCCAGCCCUCUGGGACAGCAGGGUGCCGGCAGGAAGGUGGGUGCAGGCAGGGCCUCGUCCCCAUCCCUGCAGGACCAUGCACCCAACCCACCUCCAUCCCCCCAGGAGCCGUUGGGGUUCACCAUUAACCACGGCCAGUAUGUGACCCCCCACCCGACCCCGUCCCCCACAGUGCCAGGUGAGUUUGGGGUGACCCUAGGGGGGUAAGGGGGGGGGGGCUCCAGCCUCACCAUCCUGUCCCUCCUGGAUUUUCCAGCCUGGUGUUGGCAGGGUCCGACCUGGAUGGUGAGACCCAUGGGGGGCAUCCAGCCCCAGCGCCCCAGCGGCUUCAGCACGAACAACCACCCCACCGGGCUGGGGGACAUCACUGGCCACCUCCCAGUGUGGCCCCCCCGGGAGUGCCAGCCUCAGCGGUAGCUCCCAGUUCUUUGGGCCCCCCCCAGUCCCUGGGAGCACAUGGAGAAAUAAAGACCCCACACAGUCUUCC
Long non-coding RNA from Aquila chrysaetos chrysaetos, 1859 nucleotides. The record is from Ensembl. NCBI's taxonomy places the organism in Eukaryota, Metazoa, Chordata, Aves, Accipitriformes, Accipitridae.